RNA transcript from Onychostruthus taczanowskii (white-rumped snowfinch), 2741 nucleotides. It is a transcript of the gene named ras homolog family member F, filopodia associated, with no coding region annotated. The record is from RefSeq and is a predicted model, not a curated record. The transcript has 2 exons. Lineage: Eukaryota; Metazoa; Chordata; Aves; Passeriformes; Passeridae.
UAGGUGAGCCAGGAAAGCCUGGCUUGAGCAACCACUUCAGAGGGCAGGACAGGGAGGAAAAGCAAACACUGUAGAGAGGUGGCCUCCCUGGUAAGGCUAGAGCAGGACCGUCCUGCGGACUCUGAGGGAGGGAGAAGGACGGCUGUUCCCGGUGGUAGAAUCCGUGAAGUGCUGCAGCUGGGAGAGGUCCUAACGCGUGUGCCUGGCGCUGCGUACGUGCAAACCAGGGCCAGAAAUUGCUGGGGCAGCAGGCGCUGGACAGCGAGCCUGCCGUGCCGCCCCAGUGAGUUGUGUGAGUCCUCAGCACUUCUGGAAGUUGUUUUUGUAAGUCUGAGCCGAAAAUUUCUUUCCGUUUUUUAGAGUUUCUAAAUGACUAUAAUGUUCAGUGUAGUUUAAAAGUCGCCAAGGCAGUUGAGACCAGUUGUGCUCUCAGAGUGGGUGGUUUCAUGGCUGAACCUCGUAUCUGAAAAGCGAAAUGUUCUGGUACAGCGUGUUUAAAUCCCAGAAAGGUCAAACCAGACUUUCAUACUUGAGUUAGAUUGACCCUGGUUUGCUGCGUGAGACUCUUUAGAUAAAGAGAUCUUUCAGGGAAAGGCGGGGGGGAAAGAUUUUUUUUCUCUGAACAGCUUGUGGUGACUCUGUGCACAUUCUUGAAGCAAAGGAGUUUGUUCUUGCCCACAGCGUCCCUGCCUGGCAUUGUUGAGUGGAAAACUCUUAUCCUAAUUAUAUCACUGUCUGUUAUCAAUAAGAAGUGAUUUAAUUUCUUUGGCAAAGUGUUGCAACAAGAGCAAAUUAGAUUGAGAGGCAAAGUGAAAUAAAAAAUAUGCAGCUGUUCUGCCAAACAAUGAUCCUGACUGUUUACAACAUUUUGUUUUAGACUGCCUUGUACACAGAAUCCUUUAUAUUGAAGGUUUUCAAGUCACAAUCCACUGCUUGUGCAGGGAAACUGGGUUAAUAGAUUAUAAAAGACAAAAAAGACCAAGGUUCAUCUGGUUCAACUUCCUGCAUUAUGCAGGUCUCUUGAUUUUUAUGAAUUUUUGGCUUUUUCCCAUUUGAAAGAAUUUAACUGCAGCAUAGCUGCAGCUUAGAUAAAGAUCAGAUUUUCAUUUUCAAAUGGGCUGUGAAAGGGAGUAAAAUAAGGGUAAAUUGUUUCCAUCAAAAAUCUGCCUGACAGACUAGAAAUCAAAGUACCUUUUUAAACUUGUCUAGUUUCUGCUUUCAGUUUCUGGAUGUGUCUGUCCCUCAGUCUCCUUGGCAGAGGAAUGCUCCAUGACCAGAUUUCCAUCCCCUCAUAGCUGUGUGCAAGCUGAGCAUUUAAACACUCCGUUGCAGGCUGCAGAGCUCCCCCUCGGGUCCAUCUCUACUAAUCCUGUAAUUGUUCCUGCUCCCGUUUGUCACCAUUUUGAUCCGGGCAGAAGGGGACAGAGCCAUGGGCAGUGACCAUGCCCGAGCCAACAGCCCUCCUGGCUCAGAUGUGUCUGUCAGGCAUCCAGGGAUUACUCCAGCCCAUGUUCAGCUGGUUUCCCAGCAUGGCACCUAAAAUGCUCUCAGAUCUGCUCCUCAGGAUGACAACCCUGUACUGCAGAAUUGUGCUCUUUGUUUUGCAUGUAUGGCUUUACUCUGGUCCUCUUAGGCAGUGUUGUUGCUUGCAAUGGCCUUUUUAAAUUAUUAUUUUUAUUUGAUACUCCCUUCUGAUACUGCUUAGUGUCACCUACAAACUGGUUAUGAAUUUAUGUUUUCUUCCAGAUAAACAGCCUAUCUGCACUGUGGGUGUUUCCUGGUUCGGGGUGUGUGUACACACACCUCAGCAGUGUCAAUAUUGUGUCAGGAGGAGGUCUGGUUCCACACCAUCCCUUGCCACACCCCAGUUGCAUGGGAAGAAAGCCCGGUUUAGGAGCUGGAAGGGAGCCAGAGGCACACUGCAACACUUGCCUGCCCUGGUGUCUAUUAUGUAGCCAUGAAAUAAUGCCGAGCAAAAAACAGGUGGUUGCAGGACCCAUAAAAGAAAGAUGAGAGGUCUGGGGCAGGGUGGUUACAAAGUACAUUUUGAGACCUUCCUGUUAGAUGGGGUUUUUUUUAGACGGGAUGCCUCACUACAUACUCUGUAUCCAGCUGUUCAUUCAAGACCUAAAUACAUUAGGGACUUCUUCCCCCUGCCAAAUUUGAGAUUGGAGGAAGGAGGGGGGGAAAUGACAUAGAACAACACAGUCACAUUAGACAGUUUUAUUUUUAGGAAACCAGGCUAAGAAUAUCAAAGGAAUAUUGAAUAGGAAUAUGGACAGGGUAUUUGCCUGUCCAGAUUUUCUUGCCAUGAAAAUUUUCAUUCCUUCCUAAGAACAGCAGAUGAUCUGUCUAGGGAAUUGUCAGCCAAAAUAAGCAACCUGCUGACAGAUUUCACCUGUGUCCCAGCAUGCUCUGAGGAUGCAUGGGAUGUCAGCCUUGAACAAUGACAGGGAAUCACUAGGCUGUGUUGUUUGGCUGCCGGGGUGCAGAGAUGCAUGGUGACACCCAACAGUGGAACAAACAUUUACUGUGUUUAAAAUCCAGACAAAUUUUGAUGGAUAUGUUGGCUAUUUGCUGUAGCUUGGGGGGAGGGGGGUGUGUGUAUUACUUUUUAAACUGUGAUCAUAUUAUUUCUGCAAGUAUUAUGACAAAGCCACCUCUGUAAGGUAGGGAGUGAGUGCUUUCAGAGAUCUAAUCUUUCUCGAGCUAUAAAGGAAUAAAGAAGCUGUUUCAACACC